Molecule: ribosomal RNA, 493 nt
Filed under: uncultured bacterium
Lineage: Bacteria
Description: partial 16S ribosomal RNA
Rfam family: Bacterial small subunit ribosomal RNA
Source: RNAcentral
ACGAACGCUGGCGGCGUGCUUAACCCAUGCAAGUCGAACGGUGAAGCGCCUUCCUUUUUGGUGGGUGUGGAUGAGUGGCGAACGGGUGAGUAACACGUGAGUAACCUGCCCCCUUCUUCUGGAUAACCGCAUGAAAGUGUGGCUAAUACGGGAUAUUCUGGGUCUGUCGCAUGAUGGGUCUGGGAAAGAUAUUGUUUCGGUGGGGGAUGGGCUCGCGGCCUAUCAGCUUGUUGGUGGGGUGAUGGCCUACCAAGGCGGUGACGGGUAGCCGGCCUGAGAGGGUGGACGGUCACACUGGGACUGAGACACGGCCCAGACUCCUACGGGAGGCAGCAGUGGGGAAUAGUGCACAAUGGGCGCAAGCCUGAUGCAGCGACGCCGCGGGAGGGAUGGAGGCCUUCGGGUUGUGAACCUCUUUCGCCAGUGAAGCAGGCCUGCCUCGUUUGUGGGUGGGUUGACGGUAGCUGGAUAAGAAGCGCCGGCUAACUACGUG